CUAAAUUCUUUGAUGAUUUGAAAAUGCAUAGUUCACGCUGAGCUUAUUAUGCUGAUCCUUAUUCAUUGAUUUGCACGUCAGUCUGAGAGUUUGG
Molecule: small nucleolar RNA, 94 nt
Filed under: Schizosaccharomyces cryophilus OY26
Lineage: Eukaryota; Fungi; Ascomycota; Schizosaccharomycetes; Schizosaccharomycetales; Schizosaccharomycetaceae
Description: small nucleolar RNA snR60/Z15/Z230/Z193/J17
Rfam family: Small nucleolar RNA snR60/Z15/Z230/Z193/J17
About the family: The members of this family belong to the C/D class of snoRNAs which contain the C (UGAUGA) and D (CUGA) box motifs.
Source: Rfam by way of RNAcentral